AUUGAACGCUGGCGGCAUGCUUUACACAUGCAAGUCGAACGGCAGCGCGGGCUUCGGCCUGGCGGCGAGUGGCGAACGGGUGAGUAAUACAUCGGAACGUGCCCAGUAGUGGGGGAUAGCUCGGCGAAAGCCGGAUUAAUACCGCAUACGGCCUGAGGGUGAAAGCGGGGGAUCUUCGGACCUCGCGCUAUUGGGGCGGCCGAUGGCAGAUUAGCUAGUUGGUGGGGUAAAGGCCUACCAAGGCGACGAUCUGUAGCUGGUCUGAGAGGACGACCAGCCACACUGGGACUGAGACACGGCCCAGACUCCUACGGGAGGCAGCAGUGGGGAAUGUUGGACAAUGGGCGAAAGCCUGAUCCAGCAAUGCCGCGUGUGUGAUGAAGGCCUUCGGGUUGUAAAGCACUUUUGGCGGGAACGAAAAGGACUGUGCCAAUACCACGGUUCGAUGACGGUACCCGCAGAAUAAGCACCGGCUAACUACGUG
RNAcentral lists this ribosomal RNA (484 nucleotides) under uncultured bacterium. RNAcentral's name for it is "partial 16S ribosomal RNA". It matches the Rfam family "Bacterial small subunit ribosomal RNA", at positions 29 to 507 of the family's 1533-position model. The record is from RNAcentral.